UUGAACUUGUGAACUGUGAGAUCAUGACCUAAGCUGAAGUCGGAUGCUUAACCAACUGAGUCACCCAGGUGCCUCAAAGGCCUGGUAAUUAUUGAAUGGAGGCUACACACUGUGAAUUUUACAGUUCUGGGUGUUGGAGUUUGGGCAUUUUUCAAAUAUUUUGGACUUUGUUCUGAGACACAUGUUCUGAGACACAGAAAAUUUGAUCCUUUCUAGGCUUGCAUUUAAGCUUUGUUAGGCGGGUUCAGAGCAGCCAUUAAUCUAGGGAUAAUUUGGUCCCAUUACUGAGGUAACACCCUUCUGAGGAACCCUACCUGAUACCCCAUGCGUCAGGAGAUCUUUCCACUCUGGCUAAUGGGAAUACAAACCCAUUCUCAGUGCUCUGUGAACCUUGUGAUAGCUUUGCCUGCUACAUCUGGUAUUUUUCAUUGGCCUCAGAGAGUUUCUUCGUAUGCAUAUGAUGAUCAAUACUCCACUAAAUACAGGAGAAUCCCCUACAGAUUUUCAGUCCUCUCUCCCUCUGUGCAGCUCUCUCCUCUCCGGUACUCUACCUCACAAAUUCUUAUCUACCUUGGCAUCCCAAAACUCUGAACUCUAUGUCUCUAUUCAGGGAGCUGCCGUGUUCCAUGUGGGUAUCCCUCCUUGCACUCUUACCUAUAAACGACCUUUUGACAGUAAACUGGGAUAACUGUAGUACUUUUCUCAUUUGUUUCUCUUUUCUCAGGAAUCACUGUUCUGUAUUCCUAUCGUAAAUAUCUGAAAAUCAUUGUUUUAUAUAUCUUGUCCUGUGUUUCAGUUACUUAAGCUGGAAGACUAAAUCCAAUCCCUGUUGCUCCAUUAUGGCUGAAAAUGGAAAUCCUCCGGGGAUUCCUGGAAGAACACUGUUCUUAUUUAAUACUGACCAAGCUUCUCUGGGGAUGCUGAUCCUUCCGGAUGAUAAGAAUGCUGCCUUCAAGAUCCCCAGGCCCAACAGCAGGCAUUGUUUUCUUGGGGUCUUAUUUCUAGGCAGCAUAUAAAAUAAUCCUCAAGAGAAUAUAGCCAGAUUUGUGACCAAAAAAAUGAAAUGAAAUGAAAUGAAACUUUUCUUUCCUAGCACAGGAUGUUAAAUCCUUGACUGUUGUUUUAUUAGCUUUUGGUUGAAAUUGAUAAUAAAUGAAUGUGUUGAUCUCCUAUGGUUAGCCAGAAUUCAGAUGC
Leopardus geoffroyi (Geoffroy's cat) is the source of this 1194-nucleotide long non-coding RNA. RefSeq lists it as uncharacterized. The record is from RefSeq and is a predicted model, not a curated record. The transcript is spliced from 2 exons. NCBI's taxonomy places the organism in Eukaryota, Metazoa, Chordata, Mammalia, Carnivora, Felidae.